Molecule: ribosomal RNA, 402 nt
Filed under: bacterium
Lineage: Bacteria
Description: partial 16S ribosomal RNA
Rfam family: Bacterial small subunit ribosomal RNA
Source: RNAcentral
UGGGGAAUUUUGCACAAUGGGGGAAACCCUGAUGCAGCGACGCCGCGUGAUUUAGAAGGCCUUCGGGUUGUAAAAAUCUUUUCUAUGGGAAGAAAAUGACAGUACCAUAGGAAUAAGGACCGGCUAAUUACGUGCCAGCAGCCGCGGUAACACGUAAGGUCCGAGCGUUGUCCGGAAUCAUUGGGCGUAAAGGGUACGUAGGCGGGUAAGCAAGUUAGAAGUGAAAUCCUAUAGCUCAACUAUAGUAAGCUUUUAAAACUGCUCAUCUUGAGGUAUGGAAGGGAGAGUGGAAUUCGUAGUGUAGCGGUGAAAUGCGCAGAUAUUAGGAGGAAUACCGGUGGCGAAGGCGACUUUCUGGCCAUAACCUGACGCUGAGGUACGAAAGCGUGGGUAGCAAACAGG